This 51-nucleotide small RNA is filed under the name Xanthomonas vasicola. RNAcentral describes it as "partial sX9 sRNA". It matches the Rfam family "Xanthomonas sRNA sX9", at positions 1 to 51 of the family's 76-position model. The record is from RNAcentral. Lineage: Bacteria; Pseudomonadati; Pseudomonadota; Gammaproteobacteria; Lysobacterales; Lysobacteraceae.
AUGUACCACUCGUACACUCCGGUUCCUGUGCGCCGCCCGCACCCGCCUGAC